CAAUGGGCACGAGGCAGGGAACAACCCAGGACGGGUGACCAGCCCAUCACAGGGCACACUCACACACCAUUCACUGACACAUGCACACCUACGGGCAAUUUAGCAAGUCCAAUUAGCCUCAGCAUGUUUUCGGACUGGGGAGAAACCGGAGUACCCGGAGGAAACCCCACGACAACAUGAGGAGAACAUGCAAACUCCACACACAAGUGACGCAGGCGGAGACGCGAACCCGGGUCCCAGAGGUGUGAGCUCUCCAGAACUUCAUGAAAAGCAAGCCAAAGCUCAGCCUUUUUCUAAAGUCAAAUUUCCUUCCUCGAUUUUGCUCUUGACAUUUCUUGUUCCUGUAGUUUUCCGGAAAUGCGCAGUAGAAUGGCAGUGCUUUGCUGCAGCUCAUUGGGACCCAGGAUCCACUUUCUAAAACAGAAAUAAACAGAUGAGAA
Molecule: long non-coding RNA, 440 nt
Organism: Brienomyrus brachyistius
Lineage: Eukaryota; Metazoa; Chordata; Actinopteri; Osteoglossiformes; Mormyridae
Exons: 2
Source: RefSeq, a predicted model, not a curated record